RNAcentral lists this non-coding RNA (23 nucleotides) under Arabidopsis thaliana (thale cress). The record is from RNAcentral. Lineage: Eukaryota; Viridiplantae; Streptophyta; Magnoliopsida; Brassicales; Brassicaceae.
GAGAGUGUCACUUUGCGUCUUCU